This 253-nucleotide ribosomal RNA is filed under the name uncultured bacterium. RNAcentral's name for it is "partial 16S ribosomal RNA". It matches the Rfam family "Bacterial small subunit ribosomal RNA", at positions 524 to 776 of the family's 1533-position model. The record is from RNAcentral.
UACGGAGGGUGCAAACGUUGCUCGGAAUCAUUGGGCGUAAAGCGCGCGUAGGCGGCUGAACAAGUUGGAUGUGAAAGCCCUGGGCUCAACCUAGGAUGUGCAUUCAAAACUGUUCGGCUUGAAUCUCGGAGGGGGUCAGAGAAUUCCCGGUGUAGAGGUGAAAUUCGUAGAUAUCUGGAGGAACACCGGUGGCGAAGGCGGCAUUCUGGACCAACACUGACGCUGAGGAGCGAAAGCCAGGGGAGCAAACGGG